This is a long non-coding RNA of Brienomyrus brachyistius, 1100 nucleotides long. RefSeq lists it as uncharacterized. The transcript is spliced from 3 exons. NCBI's taxonomy places the organism in Eukaryota, Metazoa, Chordata, Actinopteri, Osteoglossiformes, Mormyridae. The record is from RefSeq and is a predicted model, not a curated record.
GGAGAGGAGGGGAGGGAGUCCAAGGCCAGGGAGCGACGGCGGGCCAGCACAAGGCGGGUAGGGGGUUUUGGGAAGGCAGCUGAAGACAAUCUCUGGCUAACCUUGGACCCACAUCUGCUUUUAUGAAAGCUGACGAGACCCAGGUCUCCGGUGACAGGGAGGAGCAAAUCUGACUUGGCCGUAAUGAUGUAAUGGAGGAAACUGGUGUUUUGUGGGUCCUUGAGAAAUGAUCCUGGGGCAGCUUAUAAAACUCAAGGAGGCUAAGGGACUCAUUUAUUGGCUGGUAUGUGUAAGAUGUUCUUACUUUUUCCGAAAAUACACCCAGUUACAGAGUUACUCAGUGUCAAUGGUCGUUCUCAGUUUCACCACGUCUGUUUGCUUCAUGUGAAGGUUGUUUUUUUGGACUCGUUCCACUGCACCUCACGAGCAUUGUGAUUCUUUCUGGGUGAUGCAUGCUGACCUGCGCUCCCUGUCCCAAGCCGCCCACCGGAAAUUCGGUGAGCUCUCAUCCCUUCGGCCGCGACCCAAACACCUGUCCGCUUCGCCGCUCCAAGUCCUGUUCCGGUUCCUGACCUAUGCACAUAAUUCCGGAAGGAUCUUUGGAGACAUGAAUUGUUGACUCAUCUGUAAUGAAGAUGUCAUCCAGCAGGCCUUUUUAAACAUCUCGUUUAUUGUUCUCCCUAUCAAGGCACACCGUCAUGGACAUUCAGCCGAUCGCCCUUUGCCUGAAGUCCAUUCUGUCCCGCGGGCCAUUUCUCUCGCUUCUGUGUUCCCUGUAAGUUUCGGAGGAACCGACUCUGCCCUUUUUGUUCUCCAACUGGGUUCACUCCCUAGACCAGUGUUUCUCAACUGAUGGCAACUGAUGGGGCUUUUGGGCUGUGAGACUAUUUUCAGUUGUGGAGUUUGUGGUUUAAAAAAAAUAAAAACUGUUUACCGUGGUCAUUGCCCCUGAGUCUCCCCCGGACUGCAACUUUUACCGUCACCAUCAUCCCUUGUCGACCAGUUGAGGCCAAACUCCCACUCCCCACACAAAGGGGUCACUGACUUGUAGGUUUUACCUACCAUGAAGUAUUAUGGGAGAAAGUCCCUGAUUAGGGUCU